UGAUUGAGAUAGAACUUCAAAAGAGCCUUGUCGAACUCUCCUUCAUCUCGAGAUAGAUCCUGCAAACAAAGAAGAAAUAAAACAGACCAAAAUAAUAAUUAAAUCAAAGCUAAAAGAUAAAGAAAUUAAACAACAAAGAAAAGAAACAUAAAUAAGUAACUACCGGAGACACAGGAUGAGAACCAUCUUCUGCAAAAUCAUUAGGCACAAAAGCUUCAUCCAGUGAAUCUGCACUCUCUAAAGAUGAUACUAAUGGAACAUCCUGAUGAGACACUUUCCGUAGCCUACCCAUUUAAAC
This 298-nucleotide long non-coding RNA is filed under the name Triticum aestivum (bread wheat). RNAcentral describes it as "long non-coding RNA (TAES_LNC010788)". The record is from RNAcentral. Lineage: Eukaryota; Viridiplantae; Streptophyta; Magnoliopsida; Poales; Poaceae.